Molecule: long non-coding RNA, 1634 nt
Organism: Sparus aurata (gilthead seabream)
Lineage: Eukaryota; Metazoa; Chordata; Actinopteri; Spariformes; Sparidae
Source: Ensembl
AUGCAUUCUUUCGCGCACAGGCUUGAUCGGCUGACAGAUGGUGAUUUCACCAAGGCAGAAGACUUCAUCAGGCUGAUGCGAGUUCUUUACACCUGCACACUCUGUGUUUCCACCGAAAAAAGCCCAACAGCCGGACAGAUCCUGCCAAUCAUCCAAAAGCUUGAGAAACACUUCGCUGCUGAAAAUGGAGACACAGUAUUUGUAGCUGACUUGAAGAAGAGGGUCUGGGGAAACCUGUCUACCCGAUACAAGAAUGAGGACAACAGGUUCUUCUUGGAAGAAGCCACUGCCUUAGAUCCCCGCUUCAAGAAUAAGAUGGACAACACUGCAGUCUGGGAACGGAUCAAGGGGAAGUUACUGGCAAACUCUGAGCAGUCAGUGGCAGUCCAUGACCAUGCAGAAGGGGCUGGUAUGACACAGGGUGAGGGAAAGCAGGAAGGUGUGGAGACUGAAAGCGAGGAGGAAGAGGAGAAUCAGCCUCUUCCUUCCAAACAAUCAAAGAAGUCUCUACUGGAGGAGCUUUUUGCUGAGGAGGAUGCCGUGAAGAGGACCUCACAGGAGAGGUUGAUGAUGUCCAUGGAAGAGCGUGCUGAAAAGGAGAUCCAGACGUACCGGGCAAUGCCACCAACCAUCACAUCGUCUGACCCUGCUGCCUGGUUCUGGGCCCAGAGACAAACUUAUCCUUUACUGUCAUGUCUGGCCUUCUCAUAUUUAUGUGUCCAGGCCUCCUCAACGCCUAGUGAACGUGUGUUCUCUACUGCAGGAAACACAAUCUGUGCAGAACGGGCACGCUUACUGCCUGAAAAGGCAGACAUGAUAAUCUUCCUCAACAACAACUGUUGAUUGAUUUGUCAUAUGAUUGUGUUUGUAUAAUUGUGUUUCAUAUGCAUCUUCCUGGUUUGCAGCUCUUUGUUUUUUAGACUGCUUCUACUUGUAGUGUGAUUUCAGCAAGUGUCAGUUUUACCGUUACAUUUGGAAACCCUUGUUGAAUACCCGAGUUACAGUACAGCAACUACAUUAAACUGUAUCAACUAAAUCAACUAAGUGAUAAAAAUGGCCUGUGUAGGCUUUUUCAAAUGAAAAGAUUCUCCUGUGAAAUCUCUGACCUGUUGACCUGCACAGCUCAAAGAAUCGGAAUCAAGAAUCGUUUAGAACAGGAAUCUAAAUUGAGAAUCGGAAUCGGAAUCGUUAAAUUCCAACGAUGCCCAACCCUAUGCAGGACGUCCUCUGCUGACGACCGUCAGGAUCAAUGUGAUGAUUAAAAGUGUUUGACGUCGUCUUCAUUUAAACAUUUUGUCUCUCAGUGUUUAAUGCUUCACUUUUCAUUCUGUCCUUCAUGACGUCUCUGCUGAGGACAUUUAAUCUACUGGCUCCUCCACACAUACAGCUGCUGCUGCAUCGCUCUCUACACACCCACCAGACUCCAUUCACAAAAACACUGAUUUAACACUGUUCACUGAAACUGCACAGAACCAGAGUGCAACACGUUGUGUCUCUGACAGACUGUUGGACCGGACCGGACAUCAUCAUGUUGUGUCUCUGACAGACUGUUGGACCGGACCGGACAUCGUCAUGUUGUGUCUCUGACAGACUGGUGGACCGGACCGGACAUCGUCAUGUUGUGUCUCUGACAG